Molecule: long non-coding RNA, 363 nt
Filed under: Androctonus crassicauda
Lineage: Eukaryota; Metazoa; Arthropoda; Arachnida; Scorpiones; Buthidae
Source: RNAcentral
UCUUUGGAGUUUCUUGGGGCGGCGGGUGUGGUGGGAUUUCUUCUUGUCGCUAUUUUCUUUUCCUGCCAGAGAAGAACUUCAGCGAAUAGAUUCUAUGAAAGAGCAGUUACUAAUAGCUCUAAGAAAGAAGCAUAUAAGCAAGCUAAAGGGGCUCCUCCGCAAACAGAACAAAUUUAAGAGAAUGACAAAAAUGCCUCUAGAGCAAGUAGUUACAAUAAUAGGUGAUAUAAAUCUACCUGAUUUUGUGGUUCAAACAUUAGAGCAAGGUCCAGCAUGUGCUAUUACGAUGACGACCAACAUCAUGGACGACAUACAAAACUUCGAGCCCCUAUUAACAAACGUGGAUGAACUAGCACAAGACAA